RNAcentral lists this ribosomal RNA (728 nucleotides) under bacterium enrichment culture clone ADE_62. Its description in RNAcentral is "bacterial SSU rRNA". It matches the Rfam family "Bacterial small subunit ribosomal RNA", at positions 1 to 730 of the family's 1533-position model. The record is from RNAcentral.
UAGAGUUUGAUCCUGGCUCAGAUUGAACGCUGGCGGCAUGCUUUACACAUGCAAGUCGAACGGCAGCGCGGGCUUCGGCCUGGCGGCGAGUGGCGAACGGGUGAGUAAUAUAUCGGAACGUACCCAAGAGUGGGGGAUAACGUAGCGAAAGUUACGCUAAUACCGCAUACGAUCCAAGGAUGAAAGCAGGGGACCGCAAGGCCUUGUGCUCCUGGAGCGGCCGAUAUCUGAUUAGCUAGUUGGUGAGGUAAAGGCUCACCAAGGCAACGAUCAGUAGCUGGUCUGAGAGGACAACCAGCCACACUGGAACUGAGACACGGUCCAGACUCCUACGGGAGGCAGCAGUGGGGAAUUUUGGACAAUGGGGGCAACCCUGAUCCAGCAAUGCCGCGUGAGUGAAGAAGGCCUUCGGGUUGUAAAGCUCUUUUGUCAGGGAAGAAAAGGGAGUGGCUAAUAUCCAUUCCUGCUGACGGUACCUGAAGAAUAAGCACCGGCUAACUACGUGCCAGCAGCCGCGGUAAUACGUAGGGUGCAAGCGUUAAUCGGAAUUACUGGGCGUAAAGCGUGCGCAGGCGGUUUCGUAAGUCUGUCGUGAAAUCCCCGGGCUUAACCUGGGAAUGGCGAUGGAGACUGCGAGGCUAGAGUUUGGCAGAGGGGGGUAGAAUUCCACGUGUAGCAGUGAAAUGCGUAGAGAUGUGGAGGAACACCGAUGGCGAAGGCAGCCCCCU